This 405-nucleotide ribosomal RNA is filed under the name uncultured bacterium. RNAcentral's name for it is "partial 16S ribosomal RNA". It matches the Rfam family "Bacterial small subunit ribosomal RNA", at positions 29 to 526 of the family's 1533-position model. The record is from RNAcentral.
AUUGAACGCUGGCGGCAGGCCUAACACAUGCAAGUCGAACGAGUGGCGGACGGGUGAGUAAUGUCUGGGAAACUGCCUGAUGGAGGGGGAUAACUACUGGAAACGGUAGCUAAUACCGCAUACCAUCGGAUGUGCCCAGAUGGGAUUAGCUAGUAGGUGGGGUAAAGGCUCACCUAGGCGACGAUCCCUAGCUGGUCUGAGAGGAUGACCAGCCACACUGGAACUUUGACAGGGUGCAGACGCCUAGGGGAAGCAGCAGUGGGGAAUAGUGCGCAAUGGGCGCAAGCCUGAUGCAGACAUGCGGAAGGUAUGAAGAAGGCCGUCGGGUUGUAGAGUACUUUCAGCGGGGAGUCGUAACCCGAAGAAGAAGCACCGGCUAACUCGGUGCAAGCAGCGCGGUAAUUC